Molecule: ribosomal RNA, 732 nt
Filed under: Triticum aestivum (bread wheat)
Lineage: Eukaryota; Viridiplantae; Streptophyta; Magnoliopsida; Poales; Poaceae
Description: partial small subunit ribosomal RNA
Source: RNAcentral
AUGAGGCACGCUGCAUUUUGCGGCGCUCCAAAGCCUACAAAGUCCAUGAGGGCGAGCUUUAUAAGAAAAGCACUACGGGGGUACUUCAAAGAUGUAUCUCCGAGGAAGGGCGGCAACUCUUGGCUGAAAUUCAUGCCGGACUCGGCGGUCACCAUGCCGCAGUUUGGGCCCUUUGUAAGCAAGGCCUUCCAUACAGGUUUUUACUGGCCAACGGCCCAAGCAGACGCACAAGACCUUGUCCAACAUUGCGUCGGAUGCCAGCUUUUCACCAACCAAAGCCAUAUGCCACCCACCGCCCUACAAACAAUCCCCAUAACCUGGCCUUUCGAGGUCUGGGGGCUUGAUAUGGUUGGAUCCCUUAAAGGAGGAAGCCAUAAGAAAAUAUACUUGUUGGUCAUGGUGGACAAAUUCACCAAAUGGAUAGAAGCCAAACCAGUCAAAACAGCCGAAUCUGGACCCGUGAUAGACUUCAUAUCGGGUGUAGUACACUGUUAUGGUGCCCCCCACAGCAUCAUCACCGACAAUGGCUCCAAUUUCACGGCCGAUGAGGUGAAAACUUGGUGCGGCAAGAUGGACAUUAAGCUCGAUUAUGCCUCCGUCUAUCACCCUCAAACAAACUAUCAAGUCGAACGAGCCAAUGGUCUUACUAUGAGCGGCAUUAAACCUAGACUAGUGCGAUACUUAAAAGAAUUAGACAGGCACUGGGUUGAGGAUCUUGACUUCGUACUCUAG